This 492-nucleotide ribosomal RNA is filed under the name uncultured bacterium. Its description in RNAcentral is "partial 16S ribosomal RNA". It matches the Rfam family "Bacterial small subunit ribosomal RNA", at positions 29 to 507 of the family's 1533-position model. The record is from RNAcentral.
AGUGAACGCUGGCGGUAGGCCUAACACAUGCAAGUCGAACGGCAGCACAGUAAGAGCUUGCUCUUACGGGUGGCGAGUGGCGGACGGGUGAGGAAUACAUCGGAAUCUACUUUUUCGUGGGGGAUAGCGUAGGGAAACUUACGCUAAUACCGCAUACGACCUACGGGUGAAAGCAGGGGAUCUUCGGACCUUGCGCGAUUGAAUGAGCCGAUGUCGGAUUAGCUAGUUGGCGGGGUAAAGGCCCACCAAGGCGACGAUCCGUAGCUGGUCUGAGAGGAUGAUCAGCCACACUGGAGCUGAGACACGGUCCAGACUCCUACGGGAGGCAGCAGUGGGGAAUAUUGGACAAUGGGCGCAAGCCUGAUCCAGCCAUACCGCGUGGGUGAAGAAGGCCUUCGGAUUGUAAAGCCCUUUUGUUGGGAAAGAAAAGCAGCAGGUUAAUACCCCGCUGUUCUGACGGUACCCAAAGAAUAAGCACCGGCUAACUUCGUG